This 1550-nucleotide ribosomal RNA is filed under the name Klebsiella variicola. RNAcentral describes it as "bacterial SSU rRNA". It matches the Rfam family "Bacterial small subunit ribosomal RNA". The record is from RNAcentral. Lineage: Bacteria; Pseudomonadati; Pseudomonadota; Gammaproteobacteria; Enterobacterales; Enterobacteriaceae.
AAAUUGAAGAGUUUGAUCAUGGCUCAGAUUGAACGCUGGCGGCAGGCCUAACACAUGCAAGUCGAGCGGUAGCACAGAGAGCUUGCUCUCGGGUGACGAGCGGCGGACGGGUGAGUAAUGUCUGGGAAACUGCCUGAUGGAGGGGGAUAACUACUGGAAACGGUAGCUAAUACCGCAUAACGUCGCAAGACCAAAGUGGGGGACCUUCGGGCCUCAUGCCAUCAGAUGUGCCCAGAUGGGAUUAGCUGGUAGGUGAGGUAACGGCUCACCUAGGCGACGAUCCCUAGCUGGUCUGAGAGGAUGACCAGCCACACUGGAACUGAGACACGGUCCAGACUCCUACGGGAGGCAGCAGUGGGGAAUAUUGCACAAUGGGCGCAAGCCUGAUGCAGCCAUGCCGCGUGUGUGAAGAAGGCCUUCGGGUUGUAAAGCACUUUCAGCGGGGAGGAAGGCGAUAAGGUUAAUAACCUUGUCGAUUGACGUUACCCGCAGAAGAAGCACCGGCUAACUCCGUGCCAGCAGCCGCGGUAAUACGGAGGGUGCAAGCGUUAAUCGGAAUUACUGGGCGUAAAGCGCACGCAGGCGGUCUGUCAAGUCGGAUGUGAAAUCCCCGGGCUCAACCUGGGAACUGCAUUCGAAACUGGCAGGCUAGAGUCUUGUAGAGGGGGGUAGAAUUCCAGGUGUAGCGGUGAAAUGCGUAGAGAUCUGGAGGAAUACCGGUGGCGAAGGCGGCCCCCUGGACAAAGACUGACGCUCAGGUGCGAAAGCGUGGGGAGCAAACAGGAUUAGAUACCCUGGUAGUCCACGCUGUAAACGAUGUCGAUUUGGAGGUUGUGCCCUUGAGGCGUGGCUUCCGGAGCUAACGCGUUAAAUCGACCGCCUGGGGAGUACGGCCGCAAGGUUAAAACUCAAAUGAAUUGACGGGGGCCCGCACAAGCGGUGGAGCAUGUGGUUUAAUUCGAUGCAACGCGAAGAACCUUACCUGGUCUUGACAUCCACAGAACUUAGCAGAGAUGCUUUGGUGCCUUCGGGAACUGUGAGACAGGUGCUGCAUGGCUGUCGUCAGCUCGUGUUGUGAAAUGUUGGGUUAAGUCCCGCAACGAGCGCAACCCUUAUCCUUUGUUGCCAGCGGUUAGGCCGGGAACUCAAAGGAGACUGCCAGUGAUAAACUGGAGGAAGGUGGGGAUGACGUCAAGUCAUCAUGGCCCUUACGACCAGGGCUACACACGUGCUACAAUGGCAUAUACAAAGAGAAGCGACCUCGCGAGAGCAAGCGGACCUCAUAAAGUAUGUCGUAGUCCGGAUUGGAGUCUGCAACUCGACUCCAUGAAGUCGGAAUCGCUAGUAAUCGUAGAUCAGAAUGCUACGGUGAAUACGUUCCCGGGCCUUGUACACACCGCCCGUCACACCAUGGGAGUGGGUUGCAAAAGAAGUAGGUAGCUUAACCUUCGGGAGGGCGCUUACCACUUUGUGAUUCAUGACUGGGGUGAAGUCGUAACAAGGUAACCGUAGGGGAACCUGCGGUUGGAUCACCUCCUUACCUUAAAGAA